This 211-nucleotide long non-coding RNA is filed under the name Elaeis guineensis (African oil palm). RNAcentral's name for it is "long non-coding RNA (EGUI_LNC030327)". The record is from RNAcentral. Lineage: Eukaryota; Viridiplantae; Streptophyta; Magnoliopsida; Arecales; Arecaceae.
AGGCUAGGUCACUAUCUAUGAUGGGCAGCGUGAUGCUGGUCUGGUCACUCUUGUGCUCUAUACUGAUCUAGAUCUAUAUCCUAUCAAGCAUCAUUCUAUCGAAGACCUCUCUGAUGAUGCCGGAGUAGCUUUUUCAAGGGUUAUUAUGGGGCUUGCAUAGAGAUGGAGGAGGGGGACUUCACCUUAUUGCCAAGAAUGUUAUUUGCCAGCC